UACGGAGGGUGUAAGUGUUAAUCGGAAUUACUGGGCGUAAAGAGUGCGUAGGUGGUUAAUUAAGUUAUCUGUGAAAUCCCCGGGCUCAACCUGGGCAGGUCAGAUAAUACUGGUUAACUCGAGUAUGGGAGAGGGUAGUGGAAUUUCCGGUGUAGCGGUGAAAUGCGUAGAGAUUGGAAGGAACACCAGUGGCGAAGGCGGCUACCUGGCCUAAUACUGACACUGAGGCACGAAAGCGUGGGGAGCAAACAGG
This 253-nucleotide ribosomal RNA is filed under the name uncultured bacterium. RNAcentral describes it as "partial 16S ribosomal RNA". It matches the Rfam family "Bacterial small subunit ribosomal RNA", at positions 524 to 776 of the family's 1533-position model. The record is from RNAcentral.